GCGGAGGAGCAUGUGGUUUAAUUCGAUGAUACGCGAGGAACCUUACCUGGGCUCGAACGUAAGAUGACUGGUAGGUGAAAGCUUACAUCUCUUCGGAGCAUUUUACGAGGUGCUGCAUGGUUGUCGUCAGCUCGUGCCGUGAGGUGUCGGGUUAAGUCCCAUAACGAGCGCAACCCCUACCUUUAGUUGCCAUCAGGUAAUGCUGGGGACUCUAAAGGAACUGCCUACGCAAGUAGUGAGGAAGGCGGGGAUGACGUCAAAUCAGCACGGCCCUUACGUCCAGGGCUACACACGUGCUACAAUGGCCGAUACAGAGGGCAGCUACCUGGUGACAGGAUGCAAAUCUCCAAAGUCGGUCUCAGUUCGGAUCGGAGUCUGCAACCCGACUCCGUGAAGUUGGAAUCGCUAGUAAUCGUGGAUCAGCCAAGCCGCGGUGAAUACGUUCCCGGGCCUU
RNAcentral lists this ribosomal RNA (454 nucleotides) under uncultured Sphingobacteriales bacterium. RNAcentral describes it as "bacterial SSU rRNA". It matches the Rfam family "Bacterial small subunit ribosomal RNA", at positions 929 to 1382 of the family's 1533-position model. Lineage: Bacteria; Pseudomonadati; Bacteroidota; Sphingobacteriia; Sphingobacteriales. The record is from RNAcentral.